UACGGAGGAUGCGAGCGUUAUCCGGAUUUAUUGGGUUUAAAGGGUGCGCAGGCGGCACGGCAAGCCGGCGGUCAAAUCGCGGGGCUCAACCCCGCCCAGCCGUCGGAACUGCCGGGCUAGAGUGGGCGAGAAGUGCGCGGAAUGCGUGGUGUAGCGGUGAAAUGCAUAGAUAUCACGAAGAACUCCGAUUGCGAAGGCAGCGCACCGGCGCCCUACUGACGCUCAGGCACGAAAGCGUGGGUAUCGAACAGG
RNAcentral lists this ribosomal RNA (252 nucleotides) under uncultured bacterium. RNAcentral's name for it is "partial 16S ribosomal RNA". It matches the Rfam family "Bacterial small subunit ribosomal RNA", at positions 524 to 776 of the family's 1533-position model. The record is from RNAcentral.